UACGGAGGGUGCAAGCGUUGCUCGGAAUCAUUGGGCGUAAAGCGUACGCAGGCUGUUCGUUAAGUCGGGUGUGAAAGCCCGGGGCUCAACCCCGGAAAUGCGCCCGAAACUGGCGAGCUUGAGUGCGGGAGAGGGAAGCGGAAUUCCUGGUGUAGAGGUGAAAUUCGUAGAUAUCAGGAGGAACACCGGUGGCGAAAGCGGCUUCCUGGCCCGACACUGACGCUCAUGUACGAAAGCGUGGGGAGCAAACAGG
RNAcentral lists this ribosomal RNA (253 nucleotides) under uncultured bacterium. Its description in RNAcentral is "partial 16S ribosomal RNA". It matches the Rfam family "Bacterial small subunit ribosomal RNA", at positions 524 to 776 of the family's 1533-position model. The record is from RNAcentral.